This is a long non-coding RNA of Bos taurus (domestic cattle), 845 nucleotides long. The record is from Ensembl. Lineage: Eukaryota; Metazoa; Chordata; Mammalia; Artiodactyla; Bovidae.
UUAUAACUGGACAGGAUACCGCUGCUAUUGACUCCCUUUCCAUUGACCCAAGGUUAUUUGCCUUGCUACUAAUUGUAAGCUCAUCCAACCAAGCUUCAGGCCAGGACGGUAUGGAGGCUGAGAAGACUUGAAAAUGGAAGGGCUGGGGUAGCAUCACGUGCAACGAGCAGACUGAGACAUCUUUGGUUGUCACAGCUGUAGCUAAUGGAGUCAGCUGCUACUCAAAGCACGAUUAUGAAGUCUCUGAGCCUGGACCAGAGGCAGGGAGGCUCCUGUUCUGGGCAGCGUGGCACUGGGGAGACAGAAGAGCUGUCUCUGGCUUUAACAGAGCGUUGGGGUUGACUCUUCUCCGUUCUGCUCACCCCUCACCCCUAGGAGUCUGAGAGCGAGGUGUGGGAAGGUUGGCCUCUUCUUAGGUCUGCCUCCUGGGCUCUUCGAUGCCCCAUGUCCUCACAUGGUCGCCCCUUGGCCUGUGUGUGUCCCUGGCCUUGCCCCCUUUUUAUGAGGGGGGGUUAGUGCUUGCAUUGUACCUUAAUUACCUUUUAAAAGGCUCUGUCUCCAUAAGUUUGUUUUCUUAGAGUCUGUGAGUCUGCUUCUAAUUUUUGUCAAUAAGUUCAUUUGUCUUAUUUUUUAAAAUUCCACAUAUAAGCGGAAUCAUAUGAUAUUUGUCUUUCCUUGUCUGACUUACUAUGGUGCGGGGAGGGAUAAAUUAGGAGUUUGGGGUUAAUAUAUACACACUACUGUAUGUAAACUAAACAACAGGGCAUCCUGGAUAGCACAGGGAACUCUACUCAAUAUUCGGUAAUAAGCCACAUGGAAAAAGGAUCUGAAAAAGAAUGGAUAAA